GAGGCCCAUGCUUGCUUCAGUAGUACAUGUAACAAUACAGAGAACAUUAGCAUGGCCCUGUGUAAGAAUGACACGCAAAUUGGUGAAGCGUUCCAUAUUUUA
This is a small nuclear RNA of Perognathus longimembris pacificus (Pacific pocket mouse), 102 nucleotides long. Lineage: Eukaryota; Metazoa; Chordata; Mammalia; Rodentia; Heteromyidae. The record is from RefSeq and is a predicted model, not a curated record.